This is a non-coding RNA of Meleagris gallopavo (turkey), 8749 nucleotides long. NCBI's taxonomy places the organism in Eukaryota, Metazoa, Chordata, Aves, Galliformes, Phasianidae. The record is from RefSeq and is a predicted model, not a curated record.
CACCUGGGCCGGGAGGGGCUGAGAGGGGAAAGCCGGCCCCGCACCUCAGCGAAUUCCAGGAAGAAUUCUUUUAGAACAGAACGUUGUUCUGUUACGGAUACCACAGAUGCUAAUUUCUCCUGUUCCAUCAACUGUUUAAAUGCUGUAAUCGAUCCUGAACUUACAUUUUGCAAUGUGAAACUGCAUGACUGUUAAUGAUAUCAGUACAAAGAGCAAGACUAGAAGUUUGAAGCAAGUCCUAGUCUGUGAGAUUCUUCUUAUCAUCUGCCAUUACAAUGAACACAGGGCUACUGAAGGACUGAGUGCCUGACAUCUGUUAUAGUAGGUAAGGUGUUUUAGACAGGAAAUGACUGAGAUAUAAUCUUCUCUGGAAAAGUAAGUGUCUAGUUCUUGAGUGUAAAAUGGAAACUCCAUUACAUAAACUCUCCCUUAUGGACACUAAAUUAAAUUUUAAUUGAGAAUUUCCUGUGCAUGUAACAAAAAACAAAACAAAAAAACAAACAAAAACCACAACAAAACAAACAAAAAAACCAGCACACAAAAAAAAUCCAAAGCAACCCAGCCUGAACAAAAGCCAGAGCCCUUGUGGCUAUAGCAACUGGGGGAAAAAAAAAUGACCCUCUUAAAAUUCAUGCCUUUAAGUGAAUGGAAAACAUCAUGAAAACCUAAAACAUUUAGAAUUCAAAGGAAAAUAAAUUAUUAAACAGAAAUGUUUGUCUUUUAUGCCAAAGUCAAUUUCUGACAAUAAACUGAAUAUUCUGUGAUAAAUCAUGUUGAAUUUCAUACACAUUUCUCUUGGAAUUCAGUUGUGCUUCUGACCCAAAAAAGAAAAGGUGAACAUCUCUAUUGGCGUCUUAGGUAAGUGUACAAUGCUACAAUCUAAGAAAAGAUGAAGGAGAGGGGUAUUUUUCUCUACUUGCUUACUUUGUACCGCAGAAAAGUCUUUAUAGAUUUUCUGCUUUAUUGUUGCUGCGAGUUACUAAUUUCCCUUUGUUAUGACUUAGUUAAGUGGAGAAUAGUUGUUUUUUUGUUAGUUUGUUUUUAAUCUGUUUUGUUUUUAAAGGAAGGAAUAGUGCUUUUAAAACCAUAACAAAUAGUGGUAAGAAGUAGAAGAGUAAGUAUGUACAACUUUAAUUUUAUGAAGUUAAUCUAAUUUGGCAUUGUUUUUUUUAAGUUGAGAUCUACCAAGGUGGUCAAGUCAGUUCUACAUUGCUACUUAUUGAUGACUGUUUUGCUAAUCAGUCACGUACAACUCAGAAAAGAUUUUGUUUUUUACUCCAUAAAAUUUACACCAGUGUUUCCAGAGGUCUCACUAAUGCGUAAGUAUAUCCUAUUACUCAUUUUAUAAGUGCUGUGUUCGAAGUGAUGUGCUUUUGGUUUGUGUUUUUUUUUGUUUUGUUUUGUUUUGUUUCUGAUGUGGUCUUCACUAUAUGCUACUUGCAGUGAAGUUCUGGAUAAUGUACAAUAGCAUAAUUUGUCUGUGUUAACAUGUAUCCUUCCAUUUACAGAAACUUCUAGUUAAAAAAAAGUGACACUGGACAAACUUUAAGUAUCUUUAAAUUUGCUUAGCUAGGAAGAUGAAAUUGACCCUAAUACUCUUACAGCCUAAAUCAAGGUAUGUUGAAGUAAGUAAAGCAACUGCAGUGAUUCCUAUGGUAUUCAAUGUAGACUAUCUUUUGUGUCCCAAUCUGUGUUAUGGAAAAAUGUGUAUACACGUAUAUUAUACAUACACUUUUGUGAAGCUUCUUUUUUGUGAUUAUUUCUAUUUGCUUCACCUCAGUCCCAAACAAAUAAUGGAUAUAUUGUUUAUCUCUUGUUAUACAGUCUGUUUUCUUUUGUUACGUUUCCAUUUAUUCCCCUGCUCUAUGAAUGCUAAAUGAGAUUAUGACAAGCCUCAACUAAGUUGUAAACUUAUAUAAUUAAUAUCUGCUAUCCUUUCUAGAAGAAUUAAAGUGCACAAUGUAUUGUUCCUUUACUCUUUGCCUUAUGCAUUUAGAUUUUAAUUGAUCUAAGGAAACUUACUUCUGAGGUAAAAAUGAGGAUCAAAACAAGACCUUUUGUUUCCAUUAGAAGCACUUAAUGGUCUUGUUUUCAGAAGGUCUAAUUGUUUUCAGAAUAGCUUCAUUAACUUCUGAAAGUGUUACCAAGACAGGCAUCCCCAGAGCCAGGAUGCUAAUUAGAAGGAAAACUGGCCUUAGAGUAGUUGAAGAAUGGUGUCUUCUUUAAAAGAGCAAGAAGGCUCAUUCAAUCAUUGACAGAAUGUUUCUGCCAAGAAGUAGGAAUAACUGCCAGUUAUACAAACUCAGAGAAUACCUGUGACAAAUGGCUUAUUCCCACAGUCAAAUUACUUCUUCAGACAACCAACAACAGGAAGCUCUCUGAUGAUUAAGUAAAUCGUGCUGAGAUGUCCGUCAACUUCAGUGCAGUCCAAGUAGUGUCGUUUAUGGCCAACUUUAUCUGUCAGCUCCAAUAUUUCUAAUUCAGUAGGUUAGGCAUGUUUGGAGGGUGCUUUGAUUGCUUUCUUAGGUGCCAGAAUAGCAGUAACAACACAUUUGGUCUUCAUCACAUUCACACUGACUUUAUAUUGAAGCUCUUUUAUGUCCAGCCAAAAAAAAAGCACCAAUAAACUUAUGAAGAACUGAAGAAUAAGCAGAUAUAAAAUGCAAACAUGAUGAUUGAUAACAGCAUGCAUCCUAAAUCUAUGUAAAAAUUCCUGAAUUAAAAAUAAGUGGUGUAUGGAAAGAAAUUUCUCCAAAUUUAUGUAAAAAUUACUGUCAAAUGAUUCAAAUAGAAAUACCUUUUAACAAAAAUAAGCAACUACAAUUAUUAUCAGUCAGAUCCUGGAAGUUCUAUGUUAGUAUGUAUCUCAGAUGUGUGCUGUUAAUAAACUAAAACAUUCUUUGGCCAGGACUGAGGCGUGACAGUGAGCUGCACUGAGCUCUCCGUGGCCAAGACUGUCAAUUCUAAAGGAAGUUUCUGUGUUCUUGCUGUCAUUUGGUAAGUUGUGAACUAUGAUCUGGGCUUGCUGCACUGGCAAGAGAAUAGGGAAAAUCACCUCAUCUCAAUAGUAAAACUGUCAGUAGUAAAAGGGUAAUUCUCAGUCUCUCCAGUAGUUACAGGGAAGCUGAUACUAAGGUCAAACUGCAAAACAAAAGACCAAUACUAGUGCCAAUGAACAUGUCAACAUUAAGCACCGUUUUUUCAGAGAAGUACUUUAACACUUCAAUAUUCUGUGAUUCAGAUGGUAUCUGGACACAGUAGAGGUUUUUUCAUUGAUUCUUAGAUGAAACUAAAGCUGUUAGACAUUUUAGAGGCCACCCUGGCAAGGCUGGACCCAGAAAAAGGAUAGUCCUUCAAAGUCUGAAGGUGACAUUGAAGGAACUCAGCAACAGAUACAAAAAAUCCCAACCUAUUCAAUAGGCAUUAUACACCCUCUGUGUGUACUUGCUCCUAAGCUUGGCAACCGCACAAGUGUUGGCAUUGCUGCUUACUCUAAGAUUGCAGUCUGUAUCAGAUUGGGUGCUGAGGAAAAGAAUAAGCUUUUACCAUCAUGAUGGCAUCAGAAUUCACAACUCCUGCAGUACCUGAAAAAUAAAGACCAGAUAAUGCAAAGUUUCCAGUGAAAUCAACAUGCAUUUAAAUCAGUUAAAUUAAUUUAAUCUACAGAGAGGAAAAAUAAUUAUAAAUAUCACUUUUCCAACACACAAAAUCACAGCACUGCAAAUGGAAAUGUUACUGGCAUGGUGCCCUUUCCCUGUGUUGACGGUAUUUCCAAGUAUGCUGCCUUAUUGCUUCUGUGCUAGAUUGAUAUUACAACUACGAUGUGUGGGAAUGACUGGAAAUCUUUCCAGUGCUAGGCUUGAUGCCCAUGGCAUUUUGAAACUUUCUACCCACCUUCUUCCACUCAGCAUAACCAAAGGCAAAAUAGGUGCAGCCAAAACAAGUGUUCAUUAGUAGGAGGUUCUGUACUUUCCUACCUUCUCCCAAAUCAAGGUGAAAAACGUGUAGGCUUUAUGACGAACGAACUGUUAGCUCUACUAUGGCAAUCAGUAAGUUGUAUUAUAGGAGAAUGACACAUUUUUAUCAGCUAGCACACUGAAAGGAAGGACUGGUUGCAAGUGAUAUUUGUGCAGGGCAAUCUCUUGAGAGGUAGGUGGCUGAGAGGCAAGGUUGUCAGCAGCUGGACCCUCAAAAGUAGUUUUAUAUUAAGAAAACAUCUGAGAAUCCUGUGAGGAAUCAGUGUCACCAGUGUGUGGGCAUAAAUAGAUGGAUUUUACUUACAUAAGCCCUUAAAAAUCCCUGUGUGAUUAAUCGAAGCUUGAUAAAGGGGACAGCUGCAUUUGAAAAGAAUCUAUACCCAUUAGGUGAACUCAUACCUCUUGUUCUUCCUAAGCUAAGAAAGCUCAUUCUCUCUUGAAUUGUUACCAGGUUUUUACAAAACAGUUUUUCUGAACUGGUUACCCCUCUGUAUUUGAGCCUAGUUGGGAAUGGUUACUGGAACUAACAAUGGACAAUUUAUUUCUUCCAUGGAGAACAAAAGACCCUUUUUGGGAAACACCGAUUUUCAAUUUCCUUUACUGCACCAAGCCUAGUAAGGGUAUAUUUUCUAUGCUAAAAUGUUAACAUGUUGGGCUGAUUAACGUCCCUUGAACAACAUGAUUACGCAACAAGAUCAGUAGCCCCACAGUCCCAUACUUUCCAGGUAGUUCUGAGGUAACAUAUAGGUAUGUUCUGCCUUUCCUUUUGAUAACCUUCCCUUUUGUAAAUAAAAGUUUUAAACUCAGAAGAGAAUAUUUUCUGCCACUAGUACAUCUGUAUCAACUUCAUCCCCCUCAGCAAACUGCUAACUCUACAACUGUACACAGACUUCUGUUAAGUGCAUGCUGUUUUAUCAGGGACAGAAAGAUGGACUUCUUUUAUAAAACAAGUUGAAGUGGAAAGAGUAGAUUCAGUAGGACAAGUAGUUAAUAUAAAUUACUAAGAAAUACAAUGCCAAAAAUAUCCUGUCUCCAUCAGUUUAAAUUCGCACCUACUCCUAUCUGAGCAGGAGAGAGAAAACAGAAAUCUCCUUCAGCUUUCAAAACUUCAUCCGUCUCCUGAGAAUCAAAUUUUCAGCUGGCAGAUGUCAGCAGGCAGCACCAGAACUGUACUGUAUUCCUGAAGGAUCCACUCGUCAACACCAGACUGCCACAGCUUGAGUGUCAGAGUCACAGAUAACUCCCAGCAUUACUUGAGGGCAGUUAAAUUCCCUGGGAACCUUGUCUGAUGUUGUCAGCCUGACUGGGUAGUAAAGCAGACCACCACUUCUGCAGGUGGGUAGAGGGUGCACUUAAUGCUUUAGUCUCUUCCUGUUGCUAUGCCUGUUACCAGCUAUUCCUAAAAACCAAUUGCUUUCCUGAGACAGACAUUGGGUCCCAAUGAACAGCAUCAGCAGUGCAUUGUCUGGGGGGGAGGACAGCAUUAAGCAAAUCAAACACAAAUGAUGGUACUGAGUGGACUUGGAGUGGACAGUGAACAAAGGGAAAGGAACCCAAGACAGUUGUAUCACGUUAACAGUUAACAGUUAAUACUGUUUAGGUGAAACCAUCACAGUAGUACACCAGACAGGAAUGUAAAUGAUGGAAGUGUGGAUGUAAAUGUUUUUUAGGCUGUUUAAGGGUGUUCCUGUGGAAAGUUGCAUAGCUUCUAAUUAGAAUGCUUGUUGAAAACCCUGCAUCAGAAAAAUGGAAAACAGAAUCUGAACAUGCUGCGUAUCAUGAAUCUGACUGAACAGGACUUGGAGAGGAAAUUACAAGUGUGUUUUAGCAGUCACUGAAAAUUAUCUCAUGGGUUCUUUAUGUAUACGUGUUUUUGUCAUAUCAAGCUGCAGGAGCUUAGGAGUUUUGUAGAGCUUCUUGAAAGUGCUGUGGUUCACUAGAUGUCUGAGACUCUUCAGCAACACUAAAGAUUCCAUCCUUAGCCACAGUGAGUUACCAUAGACCAUACCAUAGACGAGCAGCAUACGGGUGCUGAGACCACAAAUCUGACAAAGAUGUGCAGACGUGCUCAACACUGCGUGCUGCAAGUUGGCCCAGAGAAAACUAGAAGGCUUUUAUAGGAAAUAUGAAGACUUUUGCAAGAGACCAGCCCCAGGUGUGGACAGUGUAGCAUUAUAGACGCAGUCUAGAACAGCAGAAUGACUGUGGUCCAACAGACUACUUUGUGCCUGAUCUGUAGUUAAGCAGAUUGGCUCCUGCUACUGCUGUUGUCACCAGAGUACAGACAGGAUGUCUGGUGUGAUGUCUGUCCACUGCUGGUAUUGAGGGUCCUCUCCAGCAGUGUUGUAUCUGGCAACAUGCUACCCACCCUCAUAGAAGUACUGGAGUUGACCACUACUUCACUGAAUUGUCUCCAGCCCGUCUCCUUCUCAUUCCUUUCCCUUGGCAACAGCAUCCCCAAAUCCCUCAGCUUUGAAGCAGAAACACUGCAUUUAGCAUGUGUUGAGAUUGUUGAGCUGGCUGUUCUUUGUAGCAUAGGUCUUACAUAUGUACCGGAAAUUCACACUGAUUAAAUACAACUGUCAUAUUCAGUUCCUUAGUAAGUUUUGUCAAGCAAACAAAGGUAGCUUUUGAAGAGAAUUGGUAUGGUGGAAGGCAACCAAAUGUAGUAGCAAACUAUGGGUAGAAAUCAGAUGUGCACGCACCAUUUAUCAUAAUUAGAGAUUAUUUGAUGGUAUCACUACACUUCUACACUUAGAUGCCUUUAAAAAAAAAAAUCUAAGAAAAAUUGUUCUAAGUUCUUUUACCCACAAAUAGAACCUAAAGGUGUUACUCUUAGGUAGCUACGAACAAGAGAGAAGUGAUGUCGUACAGUGCUAUUCAUAUACCACACAACUAAACUCACCAGCUUUCUAAGAGCAACAAUCAAAACAACAUUCUCUCUCCCACCCACAUCAGACAGAUCCAUAAAUUCUAUAAACCUCACAUUUACACAAAAUACGGGUCUCAUUGUGUUCAAAAUCGUUAGGCUUGGUGAAUGAGUGAUGCAGAACCUCCUUACAGAAUUGCAGUAUUACACCGAAAGUGUAGUUGUGGUACAUCUCAUCAGGCUCUGAAUCUCUCCAUUGAUUUUUGGCAGGAAUCUGCUCUAUUCCCUUAUACUUACUAGAUCCUUUCUUUGAAACGAGAACUAAACAGUCGGAAUUGAUUAUCACAUUAUUGUUUCAAAGGAAACCAAAAGAUGCUGUAGUUAAGAAGAAGUAAUUAGGCAAAAUUUACUACUUUUUGAAAACAUUGCUCUGAGGAAUAAGUAGUAAUUCAUGUGAAAUACAUAGUAGUGUUCUGCUCAGAGGGGGAGAAAAGAAAAGCAACCUGAGUUCUGCACUUCUAUAGCUAUAAGAGACUCUUCUAAAUUUGUGAUCUUUUUGCAUGUUUCUGGAUUCCCUUGUUUUGUUAAAGCAGAAAUUCACAGAUGCAAGUGGAAAUAUCUGGACAGUAGGAGGGAGUAAAAGGUAACCAGCAUGAAAAACAGCUGUGGAACACAGGCAAGACACUGGUUUCACUGUUUUUGAUUUUUUUUGCUUCCCUCCUUCCUCCCCCCUCCCAUGAUUUGUGUUGGUGAGGUUUGCAUUCUGAAAGCUUUAGCUCCCUGUUAAUGCAGAUUCUCAUCUAGGAUUAUAUACAUUUAAAUCCUCAUACAGUUGUAAGCAAUGAACAUUAGCAACCUUUAUUUACACUGCUGUUCUAUAAAAAGCAGAGGAAAUGCCGAAAAGAGGAUAUUUUCCUUUGGCAAAAGGACACAACCUGAUUAGAAUAUUAUAUAAUAUUAAUACUCAUUUGGCAUCUUUUCUGAGGCAGAUCUAGAAAUUCAACACCUAAGAUGGUGGUGGCAACUGAAGGCUGGAAAAAGUGAAAUUGUCUGUCUGAGAACUUUUUAAUGAGUUGUUCAGAACUGACUGGUAGAGGUAGAUGAGAAGGAGCACAUGGGAGAAAAAGAAGAGUGGCUGCCAACACUGCAAGAGUCUCUAUUCCUUCCCUUACAGUUAUGACAGAAAGGGAAUGUUGCAGCCAUAAGCAGGGAUAGGCUGGAGCAGGACCAGGAAUACUGACACAUACUCCCACCUCUGCUGGAGGCCAGGUACCUGAGCUUCAUGCAAGCACUCAGAAAAGGAAUUAGGCACUACUGAAGAAGCAGCCAGCUUGAAACAAUUCUGUAAUGGAACUUAAGCCAUGAACCAAGGCCAGCCUCCAUGUCGGCAGGGCGGUGAAUCCACUGACCCAAGUGCAGCCUCCCGUAACUUGGCAACAUGAGUGAAAACAGAUUCAGUGGCAAUCCUAAAUAAGGCAUGGUGAAGGACCAGCUCCACAGUCCAGCCAGUCUAGUCAGGAGCAGAGAGUGCUGCAGCUUGGGGCUGCAUUACAAACCUGUUUGAGCCAAAGACUGAAACAAGCACAGAUAACAACAUUCACAUAAUUCAGAGCAAAAAGUAGGUUCUCAGACCUGAGAUUGAAUAGCUCUGGAGCAUGGGAGAGAGUGGACGGGGUCCCAGAUAAGGCAGGUUUGGGCAAUUAAGACCUGUUAAUGUGCCCUGGACUCUAAGGAGAAAAAAGAAAAUGGCUCAUAGCUUCUGUUGUGUUGUAUGUCUUUCCGCUUGCUGAGAAGCAGUAAUAUGAAGUACGUGUUUAUGGUUCAUCAGAACAAUAACUGCUGCCUCAGCAGCAGUUGUUUCAAAGAGAAUACAAGUCUGUAGAUUAAAAAAAGAGGGAAAAAA